GUACACCGACGAAUGAACCACAGUUCCACACUCUCAUGCGAGACAUUUGUUUGCAUUCGAUUCUAUCACGUAACGUAACUCGAAAUGACAGUCAAUAUUCGAGAUCAGAGGAAUCGAUCGUAUCGAUCGAGCGGACUGUUGAAAAAUCUUCUAACUCACUUCAUUGCAAAACAUUGCAUUGUAACAAUAAUUAAAGAACAGGUUAUGGUGCGCAUUUCGGAUCUAUAAUUAAUGUCGAUCAGUUUUUUAAGAGUUCAUACACAAUCAUUUGUAUUUACGUGAAAAUAAAAUUUUUUACGCCUGUCGAUUCUAUUGUUCUCGAGAUAAUAAUUCAAUUUUAAAUGGCGAAUUAAUGAGACUUUAAUCAAUCUUCGAGAGCUAAUUAAGAUUAAAAUUAUUUUGUAUUCAAAAGGUGAAUGUAGUUUCCUAACAACGAACGCAGGACUAUAACGCCAGGAUUAUAAUGAUACUAUUGUUUCAUACAAUGACGAGAUGAAAGAAGAAAAUUGAGAUUCGACUGAAGCCCAUUAUCGGUCAAUCUAUUAUUUUGCAGUUCAAGUUUCAUUGAUAAGGUUAGGAAAAUGUUUUUGAGCCUCUCCUUGGAGAAAUGAGAAACGAUCGUACUACGACACAAGAAUAAAUGAUUAAUCGUCUGAGAAGAGGAGUCUGGUCGAUCCUCCCCGAUUUUAUCUGUCGUACAGGGAUUCUGGCGGCAAUCCAGCCACGGUGAUUGCCUAUUUUAUGUGUUAAAAUAAAUCUCUCGUUCUGUCGUGGCCUUUCUGCCGCGGGGAAAACAGGCAUGCGUACACGGCCCUUUGUCUCUCAAUUCAAAUCCGAUGCUCGGCCUCUCGCGUUCGUCAAACGCGACAAAUCGCCAAUUCACCGAUAUUUCCGGCCUCUAAAUCGCCGACCUACUCCUGUCAACUUGUGCAAUGUUCCCGCGGUAACAAUUAACCAUAAUUAACAGCGGUGGAAAUAAAUUCAGGUGACACGUUCGAAGUACACAAUGCUUGACCAUUGAUGGCUGGUAUUAUUGUUGCAAAUCAACCCGAAGAAAAGUUAAAUCUUAUAAAAUUUCCAUUUGAAAAAUGAAUUAUUAUAUCGAACAUAACAUGAUUAACAGAAAUAAAAAUAUUAAUACGAAGAAUGCUAUAAUGUUAAGAAUGUAUGUAUAUUUUGUACUAAAUUAUGUUAAGUCUAAGAGAGAUUGAAGUUAACAAAAUUUUAAAUCAACUUCCAGAGUAUUCUUGUACAAUAGCCUUGCUAACCAUUGUUAACUUCUUUACUUCCUGGAAAUUAUUUUGGAGAAUUUUCGAACAAAUAGAAAAUGGAACAUAAGGUAAAAGAUGAUGAGAUGGUCAGUUCUGUUUCUACGUUUUCACGUGCACGAGGACGAAUGCUAUUGAUUCCAUUGCAGUUCAGAUUGCGACUAAAAGCACCUGGUGGUCGUUUUAACGAGUAUUCCGGAAGAGAAUUGCUCGGACAACGCCGGGCGAUCAACCAAUACCCGGGUGACGUUGCAUAAUACAGAAUUAAGAAACAUCACUAAAGGAGCUCAGGUUGCGAUUUAACAGAAAUCAAUUUGUCACUAUGAUUACGUAAUAAUGGCUGAGUCAAAAAUCGUCGAUUACCAUGCCCUAAUGAAAAUUCCAGCAUGAAACAGUAAAUCAGCCUUAGGCAGUGAAAGAAGAAAUUAAUUGGCAACAAUAUAUUGUCGAAAGUCUUUUCUUAAAGAAUUGGACUGUAAUUCGACAAUUAUUCUUCAAGUUAGGUCAAAGCUCGGCGAUCCCAAGUUACAUAUCGAUUUUAAAUUAUUCUGGAGGGCCAUUUGCACGAAGGAUAAAAUGGGCUACGAGGUGCUCGAAAUAAUUAGAGGAUCGUCUCUAUUCUAUUGAGUUUAUUGCUUAACAAUUUAUUCUCAGUGUCUUAGAAACCUGAUAAACGUCAGUCACAUUUAA
Molecule: long non-coding RNA, 1958 nt
Organism: Frieseomelitta varia
Lineage: Eukaryota; Metazoa; Arthropoda; Insecta; Hymenoptera; Apidae
Exons: 4
Source: RefSeq, a predicted model, not a curated record